UAGUAGUUAAUUGUUAUACUAUUGGUAAACCUCAUGACAAUAUUCCUAAACAACCAUGGACUCCAUCUUAUUAUAUCGCAAUUACGGCUAAUAAAGAGCUUUCCAAUUGUAUCAAUGAAUGCCACAAACUCUAUCUACCAAGGGGUUCACUAAAGAACAUGCAAUGCGUUGGAGAAUGCUAUAAGAAGCAUGGCUAGACUUUCAGUUUUUUUGAAUUCAUAUUAUCUUAUAUGAAUAUAUAUUUUAUGUCCUACUCAUUUACAAGUGUUAAGUGAUUAAUAAAUUAUCAACAAAAGUAUCUAAAGUAUUCGUUUGUAUGAAAUAAAACACAAUCUCAAAAAGUGAUUUGAAUCUUAGAAGUAGCCCAUCUAAUACAUGAAAUCAAUACUUCCAAAGUUUAUUUAGUUUUGAAAUUUGUUAAAACUUAUAUUGAAUGCUGCUAUACUUGCUUUCAAUUCUUUAUGAAAUUCGGGUAAAAUAACAUCGACAAUGUACAAUCAAAUGAGAUAGGCGAAGUUCAAGUCG
This 525-nucleotide long non-coding RNA is filed under the name Arachis ipaensis. Its description in RNAcentral is "long non-coding RNA (AIPA_LNC000029)". Lineage: Eukaryota; Viridiplantae; Streptophyta; Magnoliopsida; Fabales; Fabaceae. The record is from RNAcentral.